GCCGUAAGAGAACACUGUUCUGCACAUGGCCGUCUAAACAUUGGCAGAACACAGUGAUUUUAGGGAUGAAUUAGUAUUCUAAUCUCUUUGGGAUUUCCUUUAUAUUUGUGGUGGUUUAUGACUGACAUUUAAUGUAACCAUAGCUUUCUGUUUAUAUUUAAUAAAAGGUUCAUUUCUGUGGUAGGGCACACAUUUGUACGCCAGUGUUGAAUGAAAGCUACUGUUCUGCAAGAUGGAUAUAAAAUGCUGAUUUAUAAUGACACGGUCCAAAGCAAUCUAACUCUUCCAAACUAUUUCUUCCCAGGUCCCGGCAACAGCAGGGCCUCAGCAAAGGAUGAUUCUUUGCUUCCAGAAUAUUCAUCAUUUAACAUAUCAGUCCAUGCUGCAAUUAGACACGGAAAUUGGAAACUCCUCACAGGCUACCCAGGCUGUGGAUCCUGGUUCCCUCCACCGUCUCAAUCCAAUGUUUCUGCAUUUCCUUCAUUGGACCCACCAACCAAGACCCUCUGGCUCUUUGAUAUUGAUCAGGACCCAGAAGAAAGACACGACCUGUCCAGAAAAUAUCCCCACAUCGUCAGGAAGCUCCUUUCCCGCCUACAGUUCUACCAGAAACACUCAGUGCCUGUGUACUUCCCUGAGCAGGACCCCCACUGCGAUCCCAAGGCCACUGGUGUGUGGGGCCCCUGGAUGUAGGAUUUUGAUGAGGCAGGAACAUCUUUCCGUUGCAAGCUGGACCUUAGACCUUGACUCAUGCAGCCUAUCGUCACCUUUGUUCUUCUCCAUGGGUUCACCUGGCCCUCUUAUUGUUCAUAAAUCACACCAAAAAGUCCAGUUUCAACUCCUACUGCAUUUCAGAAGCCAACAAAAUCAGGAAGGCUCCUGCUGUUGGCUGGAGCUCAUGUCUGGAGGCAGGGGUGGCUGGGUUCAUCACGUUUUCUGAGCUAUGGGACAGCUGGGAACUUGACAUAGGAAGUUUCCAGUGAGUCCUGGAGGCUGGAGCAGCUGGCUCUUUUUGCCUCACAAGUCAGACAUUAGGUUUCCCACCGCCAAUAACCAGUUUUAUUGGAGUGACUCAGGUUUCUUUUAACAAAUGAAGAAAGCAGACAAUUGUUAAUUGUUCUGUUGGCUAGGGGGUUCUCCCUGUCUGUGAAAGAUCACGUUCAGGCAUUCCAUGUCAAUAACCCCCUGCUCACCCCUCACUCACUCAUCUCAUGGUGAGUAAGGUCCGUUUUAUUAAGGUCAAUAUGGCGAUAUACCUACACCCUGGUUUUGGUUUCUACAAUAAUGAAAUGUGUUUUUAUCCUACAUUUUUCCCCAGCCAUUGCUCAUUGUGUUUAAACUUCCUGCCACCCCAGCUCCCCUUUUCCUACCAUUCCUCCAAUGUCCUGUCUCUGGGAAGGCCACUUUUUUCUCCACUCUAAGCACUCCUGAACCCUGCCUGGAAAAGGUGGCUGCAUCACUUUUGGUCAUGCCCAUGGGGGAGACCAGGGCUGGGUGGGGGAUGUGUGGAUCUGUGAGGUUUCUGCAAAGUUGCAUAGAGUUCUUUAUCAUGACUGUGGCUUUAUCUCCUAAUAUAUUACAAGUUGCACUGCUAUUCCUGAGUAGGGAGGAGAAACCCCAGGAAAGGACCAAUUUGAUGUAAGAGAUUGGAAGUGAGCAACUUGACAAAGGAAAUGGAAAGCAUCUGGUACACGGGCCUUGUAAAACAGAGGAGGGGCCCAUCCACAUUUCUCUUCUUCCCUGACUUACCCCUGUAUUGGGGUUCUGGGAUCAGGCAAAGAGGAUGCACACUUUGACUUGCUACCCUUUCUCAAGCCCAUUAAUGUCCUACUAAUGUGGAUCAGUCCAGAUGAGCUGUGAAGAGGGUCAAACUCUGAGAAACAGGUGCAAAACUGUUUUUCAUCAGCUACACUGCUUUGUCCCCUGCUUAUUACCAAGGCCUGUGACAGUGCCUGGGACAUAAAAGGCACUCACUACAUUUUUGAAAAUAAAUGAGUGAAUGAACAAAUGAGUAAAUGAGAA
Molecule: long non-coding RNA, 2022 nt
Organism: Castor canadensis (American beaver)
Lineage: Eukaryota; Metazoa; Chordata; Mammalia; Rodentia; Castoridae
Source: Ensembl